Molecule: long non-coding RNA, 5403 nt
Organism: Cyprinus carpio carpio
Lineage: Eukaryota; Metazoa; Chordata; Actinopteri; Cypriniformes; Cyprinidae
Source: Ensembl
CGUGCUUGUUUCUGUAGUAAUAGAGGCAGCAGUCAUGUCUGAGCACGAACCACCUCUUUCUCCAGCCUUUCAGCAAACUGGAUUGAGUUCGCUUAUGCAAGUAACCCCUGCACGCUGGUCUUGGAGUGUUAGGAAUUCGACCAAUAUCCGAGCCAAUGGUCAGCGUUAAAAUGUCUGGGCCUUUAUUAUUCGAACCAGAAAUCAGAUAAAACAAACACAAAAUGAUUUCAUUAAGUCAUUAAGAAAAACUGGACAUGAAACAAAACAACAUUGAAACAUUGGAGUCUGUUGCCAUUCUACACUAAACAGUUUCAUGUGAAAUGUGCCAUCUCUGACUGCCUAAAUAAGGGUAAACGUGAGAAAUGCUGUAAUAAUGUUGUCUGAGUGUGCACCCUACCUAGUCGUGCGAGGUCAGCUGCUUCUGAGUGUGGCACACUAGUGACAUCAGUGCCGUUUACCGCCAGCACGUAGUCUCCAACCUGCAGCCCUGCCUCCUCCGCUGCUCCAUCUGAAACACAGCACACCAACAGCUUUAUCUGACUCCAUCUGAGAUCUCGACAUCUGAGGAAGAAGGCCCAUGUACAGCACACUCUUUGCUACUACAAUUCAAAGUGUUUCAACCAAAAAUAAUCAGCAGUGGGACUUCUGUGCAAGUUUAACGCAAAAGAGAAUGUUGUUGGCUGGUUUUAUGGCUGCGAAGAAGACCAACACAGAACUGAUUUACACUGCACAUGUGUGCAAAAACACAUUGGAUUCAUAGCCUUUCUAAAAUAGUGACUUGUGUGUAUAAAUUAAUAAGGCCAAACCUACUGAUGCCGGCAAUAUUUUUCUUCCAACAUACUGAAUUAUAUAAAGGAAUGAUUACAGUAUGAAUGAUAAAAGUAACCUUGAACCUAUCUGUUUAGAAAUCAAUCCACAACUGUGUUUAAUUUGAUUACAGAAGGCAGGAUAAUAAAGCUGUUCCGACUUGAUCUCAAGAGAAAACAAUUAUUAUACAAAAUGGCAAUUUAGUAUGAAUUUGUGUGAUUUGUAAGAAAAUUACUAUUUGUAUAAAAAAGCACAAAUGAAGCUCUACCCCUAAACCUAACCCUCAGUGGAGAAGGAAGUGCUCAAAGUGAUUCGGGCCAAACUCAGCACCUUCAAAGACCUACGCACUGUAACUGACGUGACUCUGUGUACUACUAAGGUGACUGUACUAAGACUCUGUGCAGGCAAUCAGCAAGGCCAUGGCCAACUUGGUUAACCCUGCUGUAGAUGGUUUUGCUGAGCAGUUUACAGCAGCACAGAAGUCAUCGCAGGUAAUGUUGCGGCGUCUGUUUCAAGUUGCCAGAAGGCUCGAUCCUCUCAGCAGCCUGCCAAGCUGGUGCACCUCAGCCUCAGCCUAAGUCUGAGCCUGGGCUUCAGCAGCACCCCUGGACGGUGAAACACAACCCGCUUCCUAUAGGCAUCAAAGGUCCCUGCCUCAGAGUAAUGUUGGACCCUGUGCUUCAGAAGCUGUCCUGAUCUAAACGCAGAGAGGAAGAGGAGAGAGUCAGUUCUCGCCAAGGCCAGAACUCUCUCAAAGAAGUCUCGUGCUCGCUCUCCAUCCCCGCCCCCAUGCGGCCAACUGCCACUAGAAAAACUCAGACCACUUGCCAUCCAGCUUCAGGCUUGGAAAGCUAUCCCGGUUUUGUUAAGUUGGGUUCUAAAAACUAUUGAAUGAGGUUACUCACUUCAGUUUGCUCUCAGGCCACCUCCCUUCAGAGGUAUCAUUCAAACUUCGGUACGGGACAAUGAUGCUCACAUUCUUCGGCCUGAAGUGCAGACACUGCUUGCAAAAGGAGCCAUGAAAAUGGUUACUGUAGUGAACAGCGAGUCAGGCUUUUACAACCAUUACUUUCUCGUUGCCAAGAAAGAUGGCAGGCUCAGGCCAAUUCUCGAUCUCAGGCAUCUGAACCGCUUGCUCAUGAGACGGCCGUUCAAGAUGCUGACUUUGAAACAAAUCCCCCACGGUCUGGUUUAUAUCAGAGGAUCUGAAAGAUGUUUACUUUCACAUCCCGAUAGACCCCAUUCACAGACCGUUCUUGAGAUUUGCGUUUGAGGGAGUGGCCUAUCAAUAUACAGUCUUACCAUUUGGAAUGUCUCUGGCCACACGCACUUUUACAAAGUGCAUGAACAUGACUCUUUUCCCUCUGAGGCAGAUGGGAAUCCACAUUUUGAAUUACCUUGACGAUUGUCUGGUUUUAGCUAGAUCAGAACAGGAACUCACAGGUCGCUGUAGCUAAGUCACCUGGGGCAGCUUGGGUUGAAAAUCAAUUUAGCAAAGAGCUGUUUGUCUCACAGCCAGCGAGUAGUCUUUCUGGAGACAGUUAUCGAUUCUGCCCAGAUUACGGACAUGGAUUACGAUGGAAAACUCCCUGACUGUUCAGCGACUAGCGGCGUCAUACAAACUGGGAAUUUCAUGUCCCCUCAGGGCUUUCCAGAGGAUGCUUUUCCUCAUGUCGGCUGCUUCCUCUGUGAUUCCUCUGGGCCUGCUUCACAUGCAGCCCCUCCAGUAUUGGCUCAAAGCUCUGCAUCAGAGCUGUGGCCCCUUGGAGGUCUCCUCACCUAUUUCAAUAGGGCAUCCCAUUGGGACCGACCUGCAGAAGGAAGGUGGUCACAACAGAUGCCUCCAACUCAGGGGAGCUCUGUACGAGGGAAGACCAGCGUUCAGCUCCUGAUCAAACCUGGAGCAAUGUUUUCACAUCACCAGCCUCGAGAUAAUGGUUUUAAGGGGGCACCACAUUUUAAGGGGGCACCAAAUCCUGGUCCGCUCAGACAACAUGAUGGUGGUAGCCUUCAGAAAUCACCAAGGCGGUCACACACUCCCUUUACAGGUUGUUGUUGUAGUUGUUGUGCUACAACAACAACAACCUGUGAAGGGAGUGUGUUGGCUUGGUCAGGUUGGCUUGACGCAUCCUUUUAUGGGCACAAUGCAAACUCCUCUCGCUGAGAGCAGUUCCCGUGCCGGGCAGAUUGAACCAAGGGGCAGAAUGGAGACUACAUCCCCAAAUGGUUCAAAUGAUCUGGUCUGUCUUCAGCAGGCCAAAGGAGGACCUCUUAACCUCAGAAGACAACUUUCACUGGCCAACAUAUUUUUUGAAACAGCGAGAAGCAUUGGCCCAUAUUUGGCCCAGCACUCCCCUGUUGUCUUUACAGCUCCAUGUGAUUGUAAUUAAUACCAUUUUUGAGACCAGAGCCCUGUCUACAAGAUGUCUCUAUACCCUAAAAUGGUCAGUCAAUUAUUGUAAUGGUUAUAGGGUGGUUGUUCUGCGUGCUUAAUAAACAAACUACAGCUGGUCCAAAAUGCAGCAGCUAGAGUUCUUACUAGAACCAGGAGGUAUGACCAUAUUAGCCCAAUUCUGUCAACACCACACUGGCUCCCUAUUGAACAAUGAAUACAUUUAAAAUCUUGCUAAUUACUUAUAAAGCCCUGAAUGGUUUAGCUUCUCAAUACUUGCGCGAGCUCAUAUCGCAUUAUAGUCCUUCACGUCCACUGCGAUCUCAAGACUCUGGUAAUUUGAUAAUACCUAGAAUAUUAAAAUCUGCACUCUUGCAGUUUAAAUAUAGAUUAAAGACCCAUUUCUUUAAGUGAAAGUGAAUAUAUAUAUAAUACAUACACUAUUACAAUUCUAUAAUCAUAUAUAAUAUAUAAUUAUAUAAUCAAAUCCGUUAAAGGAUUUUUAGGCUGCAUUAAUUAGGUCAACAGGAACCUGGAACACUUUCCAUAACACCCAAUGUACUUGCUACAUCGUUAGAAGAAUGGCAUCUACGCUAAUAUUAGUCUGUUUCUCUCUUAUUCCGAGGUCACCGUAGCCACCAGAUCCAGUCUGUAUCCAGAUCAGAUGGUGGAUCCUCUAUAGCCCUGAAUGUCAGCGGAGACCACGUCAAUUAGAUGAGCCAUAACUAUGGAUCCUCUGCGAAGACCUCGGCACCUCUACGACUAUUGGCACAAGACCACGAGAACCAGACGGGUCCUCUGCUUAAUCUGAUCUGUGUUGCAGCCUGGAAUUAAACCACACCAUGCUGGUUUCAACUGGCCAGUGGAGAACUGGCCCCCUGACUGAGCCUGGUAUCUCCCAAGGUUUUUUUUUUAUGCUCCAUUACUGUCACAGAUGAAGUUAUGGUUUCUUGCCACUGUCGCCUUUGGCUUGCUUAGUUGGGGAAACUUAAUUUCUGGCAACAAUGUUGGCUUGAUUUUGAAGAGAACUGAACUGUGCUGGAUGAUGACAUCACUGAAUCAACGAUGAACUGACAUUAACUGAAAAACUAACUGUUUUCUAUUGUCCUUUUGCAUUAUCAGCAGACUUUUUUUUUUUCUGUUUGACACUGUAAAUAUGCUUUGACAGAAUCCGUAUUGUAUAAAGCGCUAUACAAAUAAAGGUGACUUGGCUUGACUAUAAUCCACAGGACCUUAAGGCUCACCAAGAAUGAUAACUAUAAAAUAACUAAUAGCACCAACCUUUGAAGUUGCCAGAAGGGAGAAAACAUAUGGCUACUUGUGGAUGAAAUUAAAUAACGCAUUUUUAAUAUUUUUAAUAGAUAUCAAGUUAAACUGCUAACUUUUAGUAAAUAAGUAAUAUAUCAUAAUAUGUCAAACAAAGCUGCAAAAAAUGUCUUUGCUCACUGUCUUUGCAAAAUGUUACUGCUCCAGGUGUGUGUUCAUGGUGUGUUUACUUCUCACUGCUGUGUGUGUGCACUUGGAUGGGUUAAAUGCAGAGCACCAGUUCCGAGUAUGGGUUACCAUACUUGGCAAAUGUCAUGACUUUUACUUUCACUUUCACUAAAAACAUGAUAGUGAUUCCAGCGAUAUCAAUCUUUUGUGUCAUUAUUGUUAUAGUUGUGGUGUGGUAUUUUCUAUUCUCACAGACUUUUAACAAUUAUUUAAACUUUAGCUAUCAUCCUUGAUGUGAACAGGCCUUAUAGAAUGCCUUCAAGCUAUUCCUUUUUAUAAAAUCUAAUAAAAAAUACAUACACGUACAUUUACUGUUGUGCUUAUCAGAUCUGUAUUCUUGAUAACUUACUUGUGUCCACCUCAGUAACCACGAUGGGUUUGGAGAACUGAAUUCUGAAGCCCCAUGGAUACUCGCCCAUGCCUUUGCUGAUUUUCACCGUCCGCUCACGAACUGAAAUAUAUAAUGCAUCUUUAAACACAGUAAAUCAUAAAUAGCCAGUUCUAGCCUAUGAUCAUCUCAGAAUGCUGUGAACCUACUGGCUGCUGGUCGAGUACAGCUGGUGAGACAGUGUGGACUAUCAUUCUGGUUAACGUCAUCUCCAUGGUAUAUCCAUGAUACUGAGUGAAAGGUUUCUGUGUAAAAUCCUCUGUCCUCAAUAUCCCGCAUUGACAUGUCCACUGAACGAGUGUCCUCAGAGUUCAAUGUGUCU